CAGCAGCCGCGGUAAUACGAAGGGUGCAAGCGUUAAUCGGAAUUACUGGGCGUAAAGCGUGCGUAGGCGGUUUGUUAAGUCUGUUGUGAAAUCCCCGGGCUCAACCUGGGAAUGGCAAUGGAUACUGGCAAGCUAGAGUGUGUCAGAGGAUGGUGGAAUUCCCGGUGUAGCGGUGAAAUGCGUAGAGAUCGGGAGGAACAUCAGUGGCGAAGGCGGCCAUCUGGGACAACACUGACGCUGAGGCACGAAAGCGUGGGGGGCAAACAGGAUUAGAUACCCGGGUAGUCCCUGUCUCUUAUAC
This 301-nucleotide ribosomal RNA is filed under the name uncultured bacterium. Its description in RNAcentral is "partial 16S ribosomal RNA". It matches the Rfam family "Bacterial small subunit ribosomal RNA", at positions 509 to 807 of the family's 1533-position model. The record is from RNAcentral.